This 378-nucleotide ribosomal RNA is filed under the name uncultured Sphingomonadales bacterium. Its description in RNAcentral is "bacterial SSU rRNA". It matches the Rfam family "Bacterial small subunit ribosomal RNA", at positions 1 to 410 of the family's 1533-position model. The record is from RNAcentral. Lineage: Bacteria; Pseudomonadati; Pseudomonadota; Alphaproteobacteria; Sphingomonadales.
UAGUGAGUUUGAUCCUGGCUCAGAACGAACGCUGGCGGCAGGCCUAACACAUGCAAGUCGAACGAGACCUUCGGGUCUAGUGGCGCACGGGUGCGUAACGCGUGGGAACCUGCCUUUAGGUUCGGAAUAACUCAGAGAAAUUUGAGCUAAUACCGUAUGACGACUUCGGUCCAAAGAUUUAUCGCCUGAGGAUGAGCCCGCGUAGGAUUAGCUUGUUGGUGAGGUAAAGGCUCACCAAGGCUACGAUCCUUAGCUGGUCUGAGAGGAUGAUCAGCCACACUGGGACUGAGACACGGCCCAGACUCCUACGGGGAGGCAGCAGUGGGGAAUUUUCCGCAAUGGGCGAAAGCCUGACGGAGCAAGACCGCGUGAGGGGGA